GACGAACGCUGGCGGCGUGCUUAACACAUGCAAGUCGAACGACGUGGCGCACGGGUGAGUAUUACGUGGGUAAACUUCCCUCCUUUUUGGGAUUAGCCUUUGAAACCGGGUCUAAUACCGACUAACGGGGGUUGGGCUCGCGGCCUAUCAGCUUGUUGGUGGGGUAAUGGCCUACCAAGGCGGUGACGGGUAGCCUGCCUGAGAGGGUGCACGGGCACAUAGGGACUGAGCAACGGCCCAGACUCGUACGGGGGGCAGCAGAGGGGGAUAUUGCACAAUGGGCGAAGGCCUGAUGCAGCGACGCCGCGUGGGGGAUGAGGGCUUUCGGGUUGUAAACCUCUUUCGCUAUCGAGCGGGUAGGUGGAGAAGAAGCGCCGGCUAACUACGUGCCAGCAGCCGCGGUAAUUC
Molecule: ribosomal RNA, 408 nt
Filed under: uncultured bacterium
Lineage: Bacteria
Description: partial 16S ribosomal RNA
Rfam family: Bacterial small subunit ribosomal RNA
Source: RNAcentral